Molecule: transfer RNA, 70 nt
Filed under: Dipodomys ordii (Ord's kangaroo rat)
Lineage: Eukaryota; Metazoa; Chordata; Mammalia; Rodentia; Heteromyidae
Rfam family: tRNA
About the family: Transfer RNA (tRNA) molecules are approximately 80 nucleotides in length. Their secondary structure includes four short double-helical elements and three loops (D, anti-codon, and T loops). Further hydrogen bonds mediate the characteristic L-shaped molecular structure. tRNAs have two regions of fundamental functional importance: the anti-codon, which is responsible for specific mRNA codon recognition, and the 3' end, to which the tRNAs corresponding amino acid is attached (by aminoacyl-tRNA synthetases). tRNAs cope with the degeneracy of the genetic code in two manners: having more than one tRNA (with a specific anti-codon) for a particular amino acid; and 'wobble' base-pairing, i.e. permitting non-standard base-pairing at the 3rd anti-codon position.
Source: Rfam by way of RNAcentral
GGGAAUGUGGCUCAGUGGUAGAGUGCAUGCCUAGCAUACAUGAGGCCCUGGGUUUGAUUCCUCAGUACUA